Molecule: ribosomal RNA, 465 nt
Filed under: uncultured Klebsiella sp.
Lineage: Bacteria; Pseudomonadati; Pseudomonadota; Gammaproteobacteria; Enterobacterales; Enterobacteriaceae
Description: bacterial SSU rRNA
Rfam family: Bacterial small subunit ribosomal RNA
Source: RNAcentral
CCUACGGGAGGCUGCAGUGGGGAAUAUUGCACAAUGGGCGCAAGCCUGAUGCAGCCAUGCCGCGUGUGUGAAGAAGGCCUUCGGGUUGUAAAGCACUUUCAGCGGGGAGGAAGGCGGUGAGGUUAAUAACCUCAUCGAUUGACGUUACCCGCAGAAGAAGCACCGGCUAACUCCGUGCCAGCAGCCGCGGUAAUACGGAGGGUGCAAGCGUUAAUCGGAAUUACUGGGCGUAAAGCGCACGCAGGCGGUCUGUCAAGUCGGAUGUGAAAUCCCCGGGCUCAACCUGGGAACUGCAUUCGAAACUGGCAGGCUAGAGUCUUGUAGAGGGGGGUAGAACUCCAGGUGUAGCGGUGAAAUGCGUAGAGAUCUGGAGGAAUACCGGUGGCGAAGGCGGCCCCCUGGACAAAGACUGACGCUCAGGUGCGAAAGCGUGGGGAGCAAACAGGAUUAGAUACCCUUGUAGUC